AUGUAUAGGGGUCUGAUGACAGGGAUACUGGAGUGAUGGAGGUAGAUAUGUAUAGGGGUAAGAUGACAGGGAUACUAGAGUGAUGGAGGUAGAUAUGUAUAGGGGUAUGAUGACAGGGAUACUAGAGUGAUGGAGGUAGAUAUGUAUAGGGGUAAGGUGACAGGGAUACUGGAGUGAUGGAGGUAUAUAUGUAUAGGGGUAAGGUGACAGGGAUACUAGAGUGAUGGAGGUAGAUAUGUAUAGGGGUAAGGUGACAGGGAUACUAGAGUGAUGGAGGUAGAUAUGUAUAGGGGUAAGGUGACAGGGAUACUGGAGUGAUGGAGGUAGAUAUGUAUAGGGGUAAGAUGACAGGGAUACUGGAGUGAUGGAGGUAGAUAUGUAUAGGGGUAAGGUGACAGGGAUACUAGAGUGAUGGAGGUAGAUAUGUAUAGAGGUAAGGUGACAGGGAUACUAGAGUGAUGGAGGUAGAUAUGUAUAGGGGUAAGGUGACAGGGAUACUAGAGUGAUGGAGGUAGAUAUGUAUAGAGGUAAGGUGACAGGGAUACUAGAGUGAUGGAGGUAGAUAUGUAUAGGGGUAAGGUGACAGGGAUACUAGAGUGAUGGAGGUAGAUAUGUAUAGAGGUAAGGUGACAGGGAUACUAGAGUGAUGGAGGUAGAUAUGUAUAGGGGUAAGGUGACAGGGAUACUGGAGUGAUGGA
Oncorhynchus keta (chum salmon) is the source of this 698-nucleotide long non-coding RNA. RefSeq lists it as uncharacterized. Lineage: Eukaryota; Metazoa; Chordata; Actinopteri; Salmoniformes; Salmonidae. The transcript has 4 exons. The record is from RefSeq and is a predicted model, not a curated record.